Long non-coding RNA from Photinus pyralis (common eastern firefly), 2181 nucleotides. RefSeq lists it as uncharacterized. The transcript has 3 exons. NCBI's taxonomy places the organism in Eukaryota, Metazoa, Arthropoda, Insecta, Coleoptera, Lampyridae. The record is from RefSeq and is a predicted model, not a curated record.
GACGUCAGCGCACCCUUAUCCAAUUAUUAUAAAUAACUUGAAUACAUAUCAUGUUCUAAAUGCUUUGGAGAAGAACUUAGCAUCGGGUGUUUGUGGGAAUACGAAAUGCCUCCAGGAGAGCCAUUCUUUUCUCUCAGCAAAAUUUAAAUCUUUAAGAGACUGGAACUUUCAGUCGGACCUGUCAAUCCCAUGGAGUCAUUGAAGAUUUUUAAAAUAGUCAAGAGCCAUGGUAUGGAAGGUAGAAGAAACAAAAAUCUCUGGAAGUCGACGGCUGAAGGACGACAAUUUUUCCCAUAUCGACUAAAAGCGUCCCAUUUGACGACUGUCUGUGAGUCUAUAGCAUCCAAAGUACUGAUCCUAGUAACCUACUAUGGAAGACAUAUCGGAAUGAAAUGAGCGCGGAGAAACCAUUCCGUACAUCUCGUACAUCUGUAUUUCCCUCCAGGGCACCUCAAUCUGUCCUCCUGCAUUCAGCAGGAAGAAGCAUUAAACAAGACAUUUGAUCAGCCUCUGUACCAUAACCAGGAAAGGACCCCUCAAUCAACACUUUGUUCUCUAAACGGUUGCACCAUCACAGGGAGCACGCACAUCGGCAUUUUUUCGACAAUGAACGACUAAGUUAAAGCCCUGAAGAGCAACCCACUGUUGCAGGAUGCUGCCCAAAACCCUGAUACAUCUCAGGAUGAGUUGGUCAGUGCAGGGGAGAAGUUCUUGAUUCCAGUUUAGCCUGGUAGGGGCACAGUCUCCUAGGAAUAUCACUAGGUACAAGCGUGGCGUGGGAACGAAAAAGAUCCCCUAGAUUUGGGGGUGGAAAACAACGCGGGAUGGCAUUGUACCAAUAACCACCUCAAAGGAACCCGUCCCACCGAGGUGCUUCACUUCAUCUCUUGCAAUUAUUUAGGAGUCUUUAGAGAAACACUGAAUAAAGUCCGAAAAUUUCGGAGUUUAUGGGGCACCAAAAGUUAUGCUCAAUCCAAGGAGGGCUACACACUUACUCGUCUUGAAGAGUACCCUAAUGGGUUUUAGAACGAUUUGUAACUCCCCCCCCCCCCCUCUCAGGUCCAAUAGCUGUAAGGAAAGACAACAAACCAUUGUACUGUAUUUUUGUCACACCUGCUCAUUGCAUUUUUGUUUAUUUUAGAAGUUCUGUUUGUAUCUAAAGUCAAAGUAUAAUACAUUAGCCAGCCAAGCCCAUGGUUAAUCAAUGGUUAAAAAUGGUAAACACCUAAUAGUUGAAUCUAGUAGUGUUAAUCAGUGAUUAACCUCAAUCAUGGUUUGUGAAAUUGGGCAUUAGUGUCGUUAAGAGUCUCCAAGACCUCGAAUUGCGACACUUUUUGAAUAUCGGUAAGAUAAAUCAGGAGAUACAUCCCAAAUAGGUAUCUACAACAGGAAAUUCGAUCACGUUAUCUUUAUCUUGUUUAUGAUGUAUUGCAAAUGAAUUAUCUUCUUUUCUUUCUUGCCUUUUCCAUACCAAGCUCGAAAUGUGCGGAAGACCGGAUUAUAAUGGCAUUAUUUAUCGGUCGUAUUUUUCUCCAAUUCUGUGGACCAUGGACCUGUAAUGCAUAUAGUGCUUUUUUCAAGAACGAUUUGGAAUUGCGACUGUAUUUUGCCAACUUGUUUUUAAGUACCGAUAACAGACAGGGAAUGCAUGCAAACAAAGCAAUUUUCCGGAUAAAACCUAAUCUAAUCUUCCUACUCACCAACAGCUAUAAAAAGGCAUGACCUGCGUCCUAAUAGGUGUAUAUUUUCUUCGUCGAUAUACAAUCAACGUGAUGUAUUUUAAACUUUUGUUAGUGACCGUUACACUAUUCUUGUGGAGUUUUUCUUUCUCGGAGGCUCUAAUCUGUAUAAGCUGCGACGGCGGUUCAGUUGGUUGUCGAAGUGGAAAGGUAAACAAUUUGACUAUGACGUGUCCGAAGAGUGCAUCGUUAGACAUGUUCUGCGUCUCGUACGAAACGGGAGGCCGUAACAUUCAUAGAGGGUGUUCUGGUAAACAGAAGUCAAGUUCAGGAAAACUGUGCGACCAAGUACAAAAACAGAAUUCAACAUUCACAAAUUGCAAGGAAUGUUCAACUGAUCAGUGCAAUACAUUCAAUUACGACAAAUGAUAGAAACUCCUUAUUGUGAUAUUGGAACCACUCUAUAUAAUGUACUUUAGGCUAAUAUCAGCUAAAUAAAACU